Vigna unguiculata (cowpea) is the source of this 117-nucleotide small nuclear RNA. RefSeq annotates it as U5 spliceosomal RNA. The record is from RefSeq and is a predicted model, not a curated record. Lineage: Eukaryota; Viridiplantae; Streptophyta; Magnoliopsida; Fabales; Fabaceae.
AGCCAUGUGAUAAGCACAAAGCGAAUUAUUCUUUCGCCUUUUACUAAAGAAUACUGUGUGUUUGUCACUACAAGUGGCAUACGUCUAUUUUCAUUAAUUACUAUUGUUCUCUAUGUA